Molecule: ribosomal RNA, 484 nt
Filed under: uncultured bacterium
Lineage: Bacteria
Description: partial 16S ribosomal RNA
Rfam family: Bacterial small subunit ribosomal RNA
Source: RNAcentral
AUUGAACGCUGGCGGCAUGCUUUACACAUGCAAGUCGAACGGCAGCGCGGGCUUCGGCCUGGCGGCGAGUGGCGAACGGGUGAGUAAUGCAUCGGAACGUGCCCAGUAGUGGGGGAUAGCCCGGCGAAAGCCGGAUUAAUACCGCAUACGACCUGAGGGUGAAAGCGGGGGACCGAAAGGCCUCGCGCUAUUGGAGCGGCCGAUGUCGGAUUAGCUAGUUGGUGGGGUAAAGGCUUACCAAGGCGACGAUCCGAAGCUGGUCUGAGAGGACGACCAGCCACACUGGGACUGAGACACGGCCCAGACUCCUACGGGAGGCAGCAGUGGGGAAUUUUGGACAAUGGGGGCAACCCUGAUCCAGCCAUGCCGCGUGCGGGAAGAAGGCCUUCGGGUUGUAAACCGCUUUUGUUCGGGAAGAAAUCCUCUGGGCUAAUACCCCGGGGGGAUGACGGUACCGGAAGAAUAAGCACCGGCUAACUACGUG